Non-coding RNA from Trichonephila clavipes, 81 nucleotides. Lineage: Eukaryota; Metazoa; Arthropoda; Arachnida; Araneae; Nephilidae. The record is from the annotation of a GenBank genome assembly.
GUCCCUGUAGUGUAAUGAAUCUAGUGUGUGUGCAUUGGACUUCUCAUCCAAAUGUCGUGGUUUCGAAUCCCACCUGGGAUG